Molecule: unclassified non-coding RNA, 354 nt
Filed under: Microcystis sp. TAU-MAC 2410
Lineage: Bacteria; Bacillati; Cyanobacteriota; Cyanophyceae; Chroococcales; Microcystaceae
Description: partial 16S-23S ribosomal RNA intergenic spacer
Rfam family: tRNA (bases 190-263)
Source: RNAcentral
GGGGUGAAGUCGUAACAAGGUAGCCGUACCGGAAGGUGUGGCUGGAUCACCUCCUUAAAGGGAGACCUAAUUCCGGUAGGAGACGAAAAAAAAGUAGUCCCUACCAAGAAUCAAUCCCAAAAGGUCGGAACGAGGUAUGAGGCUUUCAAACUAGGUUCUGGGUUCAUAAAAGACCUGAAUCAGGAACAAGGGCUAUUAGCUCAGGUGGUUAGAGCGCACCCCUGAUAAGGGUGAGGUCCCUGGUUCGAGUCCAGGAUGGCCCACCUGCACAGGUGGCAAAAACAAGAGAAGCGAGGAAUCAGCACCUUAUCUUAUAUACAUAUAUAAGAGAGAAUGCUGGCUCUGAGUACAGAG